This 497-nucleotide ribosomal RNA is filed under the name uncultured bacterium. RNAcentral's name for it is "partial 16S ribosomal RNA". It matches the Rfam family "Bacterial small subunit ribosomal RNA", at positions 28 to 507 of the family's 1533-position model. The record is from RNAcentral.
GACGAACGCUGGCGGCGUGCCUAAUACAUGCAAGUAGAACGCUGAAGAGAGGAGCUUGCUCUUCUUGGAUGAGUUGCGAACGGGUGAGUAACGCGUAGGUAACCUGCCUUGUAGCGGGGGAUAACUAUUGGAAACGAUAGCUAAUACCGCAUAACAAUGGAUACCACAUGUCUUUUAUUUGAAAGGGGCAAUUGCUCCACUACAAGAUGGACUGGCGUUUUAUUAGCUAGUAGGGGAGGUAAUGGCUCACCUAGGCGACGAUACAUAGCCGGCCUGAGAGGGUGGUCGGCCACACUGGGACUGAGACACGGCCCAGACUCCUACGGGAGGCAGCAGUAGGGAAUCUUCGGCAAUAGGGGCAACCCUGACCGAGCAACGCCGCGUGAGUGAAGAAGAUUUUCGGAUCGUAAAGCUCUGUUGUAAGUCAAGAACGGGUGUGAGAGUGGAAAGUUCACACUGUGACGGUAGCUUACCAGAAAGGGACGGCUAACUACGUG